UUCUCUCUAUCUGCUUAUUCUGCCUUCACAUAAUUCAUUUUUCGAGAGCCCUUUUUGAAGAGCAAAUUAGGUUCUUCUUUGGUCCCCCUUCUCCAUCUCUUCAUCCUUUUUCCCCGCUUUCUACUUUCCACCAUCAGGGCUCUUUUUUUGUGUGUUCGGCGCGGCGGAGGAGCAAAAAAAGAAAGUUUCUCCUUCAACUUCUUCCAUCCCAUCGGACGACGAUGGUGUGGAGCACUUGGAGCCGAGAGCUCACACAAAAACUGCAAAUUUAUUCACAAGUCAGUGAAUAGAGGAGACGCGCACCGCUGAGCACAUACACGUAAAAUAGAGAAAAAGAGACACCGAAAUGAAU
This is a non-coding RNA of Caenorhabditis elegans, 352 nucleotides long. The record is from Ensembl. Lineage: Eukaryota; Metazoa; Nematoda; Chromadorea; Rhabditida; Rhabditidae.